Molecule: unclassified non-coding RNA, 379 nt
Filed under: uncultured Micrococcaceae bacterium
Lineage: Bacteria; Bacillati; Actinomycetota; Actinomycetes; Micrococcales; Micrococcaceae
Description: contains 16S-23S intergenic spacer region
Source: RNAcentral
UCCGGUUUGACACCGGCAGUCUCUCAUGAGUCCCCGCCAUAACGCGCUGGCAACAUAGAACGAGGGUUGCGCUCGUUGCGGGACUUAACCCAACAUCUCACGACACGAGCUGACGACAACCAUGCACCACCUGUAAACCGACCGCAAGCGGGGCACCUGUUUCCAGGUGUUUCCGGUUCAUGUCAAGCCUUGGUAAGGUUCUUCGCGUUGCAUCGAAUUAAUCCGCAUGCUCCGCCGCUUGUGCGGGCCCCCGUCAAUUCCUUUGAGUUUUAGCCUUGCGGCCGUACUUCCCAGGCGGGGCACUUAAUGCGUUAGCUACGGCACGGAACCCGUCGAUCGAGCCCCACACCUAGUGCCCAACGUUUACGGCGUGGACUAC